GUGGGGGAUAUUGCACAAUGGGGGAAACCCUGAUGCAGCAACGCCGCGUGAGGGAAGAAGGUUUUCGGAUUGUAAACCUCUGUCCUCAGGGAAGAUAAUGACGGUACCUGAGGAGGAAGCUCCGGCUAACUACGUGCCAGCAGCCGCGGUAAUACGUAGGGAGCAAGCGUUGUCCGGAUUUACUGGGUGUAAAGGGUGCGUAGGCGGGAUAUCAAGUCAGACGUGAAAUCCAUCGGCUUAACUGAUGAACUGCGUUUGAAACUGGUAUUCUUGAGUGAGUCAGAGGCAGGCGGAAUUCCCGGUGUAGCGGUGAAAUGCGUAGAGAUCGGGAGGAACACCAGUGGCGAAGGCGGCCUGCUGGGGCUUAACUGACGCUGAGGCACGAAAGCGUGGGGAGCAAACAGGAUUAGAAACCCGUGUAGUCC
RNAcentral lists this ribosomal RNA (425 nucleotides) under uncultured bacterium. RNAcentral's name for it is "bacterial SSU rRNA". It matches the Rfam family "Bacterial small subunit ribosomal RNA", at positions 354 to 796 of the family's 1533-position model. The record is from RNAcentral.